RNAcentral lists this ribosomal RNA (253 nucleotides) under uncultured bacterium. RNAcentral's name for it is "partial 16S ribosomal RNA". It matches the Rfam family "Bacterial small subunit ribosomal RNA", at positions 524 to 776 of the family's 1533-position model. The record is from RNAcentral.
UACGUAGGGGGCAAGCGUUGUCCGGAUUUAUUGGGCGUAAAGAGCGUGUAGGCGGCUAGGUAGGUCCGUUGUGAAAACUCGAGGCUCAACCUCGAGACGUCGAUGGAAACCAUCUAGCUAGAGUCCGGAAGAGGAGAGUGGAAUUCCUGGUGUAGCGGUGAAAUGCGCAGAUAUCAGGAAGAACACCCGUGGCGAAGGCGGCUCUCUGGUACGUGACUGACGCUGAGACGCGGAAGCGUGGGGAGCGAACAGG